Molecule: long non-coding RNA, 1614 nt
Organism: Notolabrus celidotus (New Zealand spotty)
Lineage: Eukaryota; Metazoa; Chordata; Actinopteri; Labriformes; Labridae
Exons: 3
Source: RefSeq, a predicted model, not a curated record
UUCUUACUGGGACAAUAAUUUGCUGAAGUCGCAUCAUGCUGCAGUGAGGAAAGACUUGAGUCCAGUAAUUGAGUCUCCCCUUGCGGGCCAUUAGAAAGAAUGCACGUUUAUUGGCACCUAUGAAUUUGCUUCACUUUUGGAAACAGAGAUCACGCCCACAUUUUACACACAGUCCAUGAUCCCCAUUGUGUAGUUUAACCGCAGACUGACAGUUGACCACUCAGCCAACCAGCUGAAGAUGCUGCAGCUAGCUGCAUUGCUUAAUGCAGGCACCUCAUUGGUUGAUAACAGCUCAUGCAGCUUCUGCAGUUAUCAGUUUACCUGCACACUUUAUUUGACCCAAUGUGGUCUGACAUUAUCUCAUAAUUUGUUUUUUCCCCAGUUUCCAGUUUUAGAAGCUUUUACUGAAGAAGAAAAAUAUAUCUGAGUCAUUUCAGAACUCUGAUCUUUCAAAUGUUUCCAGAUCUGUUGAUCUCACUGAGAAUAAUUAGCAGGAAAUAGUUUCUCGGACAAAGCCAAAGCUGCAGUGGAUCCCCAGUUUCCCACUAAAAGCUUAAUAAACUGGAAAUUAAAAUGUGUCAGCACUAGACAACGCAUUGUAAAGCACUCAGGCUUCAGAGAGUUAGGACAUCACCUCAAACACGAGGAGCUGCAGGAAAAGGAACUUCUCUACAACAGGAAUCAAGAAUGUGUCUCAAAAAACUGCAUGGAUGAAGAGACUCCUCUUAAGAUUAGUAGAAGGACGAUGCUGAGUCAUCAUUCAGCAGAAAGAGUUUAAGACAUGUAUUCACAGGAGUAGAAGAUGCAAAUGUGGAUGACAGAUGGAUAUCAGAGCAGAGCUGAGGCACAUAUGGUGGAAAAGACUAGAUCUAAAAACUCCUGGUGGAUGCAAGAGGAGAGGGAGAAGAAUGAGGGAAAGCACCAUCAGAAUGACAUCACUGCUUGGAUGAGUUGGUUAGGACACACAUUGGAGGAAAAUCUGCAUGUUUUAGCAGCCGGCUAUCACCCCCUAGUGGUGGAGGAUGAGGAGGAAAAGAAAAAGGACAGAGAAGCUUCAUAUCUUCUCUGCUCUGACUGUGCUUCCUGAGCUGCGUCUCCGGGAGUCUGGAGGUCAGGCGCGGUUCAGUUUGCCGGAGUGACAGACUGUUUGGACUUCCUAACAUUGUGCCUGCUGCCUUAAAGUUUUGUUUCAUAACACUGAGGGCCUCAUUCGAUCUGCAGUCAGGCCCUGAAACCUGCCUGCAUGGUGUGCACCUGGUCCAAAUGUAAAGCAGAGAAUAAAAAAAGGCUGCGUACAAACACGGAGGAUGCGCGUCAUGAAAACAAGGAUGUCAACAAUAUGAGGAUGCUGUCUGGGCGGAUUACAACCAUGUGACUGCCCCGCAGACAGGUGUGCUGUUCCGGUGUUUCUCCUGCAGGUUGCAGCAUUGUCCCUGAAAACAACCGAGGCUCACCUGUCACCUGUCAGACAGAGCCGAGCGCAGACCUCAGAGCGGUGUGCUUUUGAUGCACAGCUGUGGCAUAGAUGACAAAAAUAUGCGUAUGCAAGUGGGGUGUAGGGAACAGGCCCGCAUUCAGGGUACAUUCAGAAUAAAAACAUUAGGAAAACAUGAA